RNAcentral lists this unclassified non-coding RNA (1405 nucleotides) under Acyrthosiphon pisum (pea aphid). RNAcentral's name for it is "uncharacterized LOC115033908, transcript variant X1". The record is from RNAcentral. Lineage: Eukaryota; Metazoa; Arthropoda; Insecta; Hemiptera; Aphididae.
UUGCUUUAAGCUUCUUCAAUAUUAUCAAACUAAGGUCCUAUUAGCCCCAUUAGCCCCCCCCCCCCAAAUCUCAAACGCUAUUUGCGCCUAUGGUACUUAUAGAUAGUCGUGCUAUUAACUGAGCUAUUAAUACUAAUAUUUUGUUUUAAUGAUUUAUGUACUUUUAUGUGUUAUUGACAUUAUUUUGACAUUUUGUUAACAUAUAUAUUUGUUGUGUACAUGCACCUCAUGAUGCAUCCAAAACUACAUUUAGUGUUUCCAAAAAUGAGGGAGAAAAAGCUUUGGGAAUGGUUUUAAAAAAGAGCCAUCGUGCCUGCGCUAAACAUUUUGAAACUUAUGAAAUUAAAAGUACUUGGGAGUCUGGCGAAGGAUUAAAUAAAUACACGAUAUGUUUGAAAAUUCCGAGAUUAGUAGAAGGGGCUGAAGCGAAGUCAAUGUUAAAUUGUGAAAAUAAUGUUUCAAAUGAUCAAAAUAAAAAUGUAGAGGUUUGAAAAUUAAUAAUAUAAUUGAUAUAAUUUUGAUUAUUAACUUUAACAAUACUUAACAAAUUAAUAUUAAAUAGACUUUUGAAUCUGAGAAUAAAUUGUUUCCAUUUAAAACGGAUCCAAUACAACUCUUGAGUGAUUCUCAGAUAAAACCUAUAUGCAAAUCACCUAUUUUUAUCCAAACAUAACACAAUAAAAACCACGGCUUUAGAGUUUAGAUUAUCUUAGGUAAUAUCAUAGAACAAUGGUAAUAUUUUAAUACGUAAUAAUUAACUAAUAACUCUCAUUUUUAAAAAUAUAUUAAAAAAUAUAUUAAUAUUGUUACCUAUGUUGCUAACAUGAUAAUUAUUUGCCAUUUGGUUAGUAUAUAAAUCCGCUGGGAGCGCUCUAUGAUCUUAGGUAUUUGGUAAGAACAUUCUCAACACACUUUUUCUCGUUUCGUUACGCAACCGUACUAUCUUAAACCGUGGUAAAGACGUAUACUUUGACGAACAUAAUCAUUCGUAGUCUGCGUGUUUCCGUACUUCUGAUAUUUGUAUAUGUCCGAACGAAAUAUGUCGCAAGAAAAUAAUAGUAUAAAAUUAAUUACUGGCAAACGAGGCAAUUUGUUGGUUGUAUUUAAAAAUUAUAAGUAUAGUAAAAAUAAAAAAUACGCGUCUGGUGAAAUAAAAUGGAGGUGCAAUAACAAAAAUUGUAAUGCAUUUAUAAAAACUGUUGGAGCUGAGCAGCAUAAUAUUGCUUUAACACAUUUUGCAAAUGAUACUCACAUUACUUCAUGCCUUCCAAUUUCCAUCCAAACACUAGAAAAACAAGAAAUAAGUAGUUGUGUAAAGAGGAAAACGGUGGAAGAUAUUCGUGAUAAACCGGGUAUGUGGACAAACCGAUUUCAGAAACCGGUAUAAACCGUUUUUAAACCGAAA